Molecule: long non-coding RNA, 439 nt
Organism: Panicum virgatum (switchgrass)
Lineage: Eukaryota; Viridiplantae; Streptophyta; Magnoliopsida; Poales; Poaceae
Exons: 2
Source: RefSeq, a predicted model, not a curated record
AUUCGAGUAUGUACAUCCACUUUGUGUCGCUAAUAAAAAUCAAUUUGUGAGAAUUGUUGGCUUUAGAACACAAUAACCAGGUGAGCAACCUGCUCACCUUCCUCUCCCUCUCCUUGACUCCAAGGUAGAAGAAGAGCUGAGCUCCUCUGCACACACACACACAGCUCUCUGCGUUGGUUGAGAGUUAGAGACUGGAAUGUGGCAAACUGAACUGCCUUUUCUCAUUGCAUUGCACUCAUAUUUAUACACCAUUUGCUACCUACUCUAAGGUGCUAAUAACUUCUAUCAUUAUCUGAACAUUAGUGGCCUAGAGCCACAAGUCAACAAAGGCUGCAAGUCAACAAAAGCUGCUAGCAAACUGCAAACUUGCCUUGCUAGCAAACUGCAGACUUGCCUUGACUUAAACAGAUAAGGGACAGCUGCAGAUUAAGUCCUACAU